This 1506-nucleotide ribosomal RNA is filed under the name Triticum aestivum (bread wheat). Its description in RNAcentral is "partial small subunit ribosomal RNA". The record is from RNAcentral. Lineage: Eukaryota; Viridiplantae; Streptophyta; Magnoliopsida; Poales; Poaceae.
AUGGAUCCGCCUCUCUGGGUCGAACAACUCAUGCACUCCUGCCUUCCGGCGUCCCCGGUUUCGGCCACCGCCUCCCUCAGCCUCUCCGCCGCCACCACCGGCAAGGACGGCGGCGGCGAGGACCGCAUCAGCGCUCUUCCAAGCGACCUCCUUUGCAACGUCGUCUCUCGCCUCCCCGUCAAGGACGCCGCCCGCACCGGCGCGCUCUCCCAGCGCUGGCGGGGCCUCUGGCGCGCCGCCCCGCUCGUCCUCGACGACGCCCACCUCCUCCCGGACGCCGCCGCGGCGUCCCGCGUCCUCGCCUCCCACCCGGGCCCCUUCCGCUCCGUCCGGCUCGUCAACAACCUCAUCGACGAGUCCAACAAGGACGCGCUCCUCGCCGAGUGGCUCCGCCUCCUGGCCGACAAAGGCGUGGAGGAUCUCAUCCUCGCCAACCACCCUUGCUCCCGUGGAGCGAUGCCCGUGCAGCUACCGCCAUCCCUCCUCAGCUGUGGCGCCUCGCUCCGCCGCCUCUACCUCGGCGUCUGGCUCUUCCCUUUCUCCAUCGACCUCCCGCGCGGCCCCGGCGUCUUCCCCCACCUCCAGGAGCUCGGCAUCUGUCAUGGCAUCACCCAGGAGCGCGACCUCCAGUACAUGCUCGCUUGCAGCCCCAAGCUGGAGAUCUUGGCGCUCAUCGGCACCUUCUGCCUCCCCGACCGCGUCCGCGUCCGCCACCAAAGCCUCCGUUGCGUGGUGCUCUGGCAUUCCCUGGUGGACGAGGUCGGCGCCAUGGCCGCCCCGCACCUGCAGCGGCUCAUCAUCUACUGCACGAACUCCACUGGGCCUGGAAUCGGAAGGACCAUCAAGGUCAAGAUUGGCCGUGCUCCUCAGCUCGCCGUGCUCGGCUACUUGGACACGGCCAAGCACGUGCUUGAGAUCGGCGACACCAUCAUCAAGGCUGGGGUGACAAAGGUUUGCCCAAGUACAGUGGUUCCAAGCGUCAAGGUGUUAGCUCUCAAGGUGCGAUUCAGAGUCGCUGCUGAAGUGAAAACUUUGCUGGGCUUCUUGAGAUGCUUCCCUGAAGUAGAGACCUUGCACAUUAUGGCUUCCGACAAUGACACCGACUACUACGAGGACCAUGGCCAAGUCAAGGUAAGGGACAGGCUCAGUUCCACCUUCUGGCAGCGGGUCGGUCCGAUCGGAUGCGUGGAGUCGCGUGUCAAGAGGGUGGUGUUCGAUCAGUUCACCGGGGGGACAAACGAGGUUGGGUUCCUGAAGCUGGUCCUUGGGAGAGCUGUGCUGCUGCAGAAGGUGACAGUCGUGCUGGCCCGUCCGGAUUCUGCGGCGAUGAGUGAGGCCAUGCGCAAACUGCAGCCGUUGGCUUCCAAGAGAAUGUGGGCCACUAAGGUUGUGGACAAUCCUUCCUUUGAAGUCUGUGGGCGCGUGGCAGGCCAUUUGUGUUGGUACAAAGAAGCAUCUGAUCUUUCUAUCAGUGACCCGUUCAUUUCUAUGUUAGGGCUGCACUGA